RNAcentral lists this transfer RNA (74 nucleotides) under Candidatus Giovannonibacteria bacterium RIFCSPHIGHO2_01_FULL_43_140. RNAcentral describes it as "tRNA-His". It matches the Rfam family "tRNA". Rfam says of the family: Transfer RNA (tRNA) molecules are approximately 80 nucleotides in length. Lineage: Bacteria; Candidatus Giovannoniibacteriota. The record is from RNAcentral. RNAcentral also lists the same sequence under 5 other names.
GUGCCUAUAGCUUAGUGGUAAAGCACCGCUCUGUGGCAGCGGUAACGAGGGUUCGAUCCCCUCUAGGCACCCCA